AGCUUCCUCUUCUCAUUAAAUCCCUGUUCUGUGUGGUUGGAGGCUCAGGGAGAUGAUGUCUGGGCAGCAGAUGUGAAUGUUUCCUUGCACGGGGCCGCGGUUAAAGCAUUUCUUUGCUCCUCUGGGAUCUCCAGCCUGGAGUGAAUGUAAAGGAGUGUGCUUUCCUGACAGGAGUCUAGAAAGGCAAAGUAUCGCCUUAGGAAUCUUGCAGAUACUGAUUCAGAAGGUCUGGGUGGUGCCUGAGAUUCAGCCCAAUAUACCCUUCACAGAGCCAGCAGAGCCUCCUUUUGCACAAGGUAACCAAAGGAAGGUUGGCAAGAGAAUCUAGAAAAUUUGUAGACUUCUUGCUAUGAUAUUAGGAAGAGCAUGAAAAGGAAGAAAUGGAGCUGAGAGCUAAAAGGUGGGAGAUUAACAGGAGUGGUUGGCAGUGCAAUAUAGUAGUAAGUAUUGAGAAGAUUAAACAAGAACUUAUGGAGCCAGGAUGAUAGGGAUCCAGGAACCACCAAUAUUUGGAAAUUGGAGCAGACAGAUAUCUGUUCUGGAGAGGACGUGGGAUUGACUCACAGUAGCUUUAAGAUUCCCAGCAACAUUUUUAACACUGAAAUUCUGAUGUAACUGAUUCUAAGAAUUCACAUUAAAAUCUACGUCACUUUAUUCCUCAGUGAAAAUCUACAACAGCCUCUUGACACACCUAAGGUGCUCCUGUUUUUUUUGAAAAUAUGCCACAGAGUGUUUGCUGAAGUAUCAGGAAUAAUUAAA
This 759-nucleotide long non-coding RNA is filed under the name Equus caballus (horse). Its description in RNAcentral is "lncRNA (ENSECAG00000053812.1)". The record is from RNAcentral. Lineage: Eukaryota; Metazoa; Chordata; Mammalia; Perissodactyla; Equidae.